UGAGGAAUAUUGGUCAAUGGGCGCAAGCCUGAACCAGCCAUGCCGCGUGCAGGAAGAAGGUCCUAUGGAUUGUAAACUGCUUUUAUUUGGGAAUAAACCUCUGGUCGUGCACCGGAGCUGAAGGUACCAAAUGAAUAAGCACCGGCUAACUCCGUGCCAGCAGCCGCGGUAAUACGGAGGGUGCAAGCGUUAUCCGGAAUCAUUGGGUUUAAAGGGUCCGCAGGCGGACUUAUAAGUCAGUGGUGAAAGCCUACAGCUUAACUGUAGAACUGCCAUUGAUACUGUAAGUCUUGAAUUCGGUCGAAGUGGGCGGAAUGUGUAGUGUAGCGGUGAAAUGCUUAGAUAUUACACAGAACACCGAUAGCGAAGGCAGCUCACUAGGCCU
This 385-nucleotide ribosomal RNA is filed under the name uncultured bacterium. RNAcentral's name for it is "bacterial SSU rRNA". It matches the Rfam family "Bacterial small subunit ribosomal RNA", at positions 355 to 736 of the family's 1533-position model. The record is from RNAcentral.